UAGAUAAACACUAUUUGAGAAAAAAAGCGCGGGAAACUUCGUUUAUGGUAGACGUAUUUUUCACGGUGGUGAAAAUUUAAUUUAAUUUUAUAGUUAAAACGCGGAGGAUAAGCUGGUAGUGUAAGUUUUAGUAAUAUAUGUAAUCUUUGUAUCAUAUUUGUGUAUAGUGUCAUCGUAUAGUUGGUAAGUUUUUAUAAUUUUUGUAAAUAUUGUAUGAACGAGCCCCCCGAUCUCGAUCGGGGGGAUGAUGGCUAUGUUGGCCUGAAUCUCCCCGUGGGAUCAUAUGUAACUGUUGUUUCACAAGAUGAAUUUGAUAAAAUGGAUACGGAUUGUUCGUUAUCAUCUCAGACAGGUGAAGGAAGUCGUAAACGAACACGUUAUCUACGCCUUUGUCGGCAGUGUACGAAAAGGAGAAAUAAGAAAGGUGGUUCUAGCGGUGAUUACUGUCAGUGCGAAAGUUUAUGCAAUAUGGAAGAUGAGUCAAUUUUAAUAAAAAAGAUUACUUCUAAAAGUUCUAAACCUAUAUCUCAAUCGACGUCAUCUUCACACUCGCAAAAUAAUAAUAAUUCACAUAAAACGUCCUCUCAACCAUCAACAUCUUAUACGGAAAAUUCAAAUAUCUCUCAAGACUCUAACGCGGGAAAUUCAAAUAUCUCUCAAGACUCUAACGCGGGAAAUUCAAAUAACACGAAAACUACAGUAACCAAUACAGACUCCCGUUGGAUCGGCCGGACUGAAUAUGUUCUUACUGAUGUUUCCCCUUAUUUGAUACACGUUCAACGUAUACAAAGUUCACCUGAUGACGGGACCGUUCUCCAUCCUAUAACUUUUGGCAAUUUUUUAAAGCAGAACAAAUUUGAAAAUAUUAUUCCCGGUAGUGUAAAACGUAUAGGAAGAAAUAGGUGCGUAGUUGGCUUUUCCGAUUACAAAGACGCCAAUAACUUUCUUAACUGCAAUUUUUUGGAAACGAAAAAGUUAAAAGCCUUCAUUCCGACUUUCAACGUAACAAGGAUGGGGCUAGUUCGUGGGGUCCCUGUAGAUUGGAGUGUAGAGGAAGUUCAACGAAAUGUAUCCGUUCCUUUAGGCUGCGGCAAAAUACUUAAAAUAAGACGUUUGAAUCGCAAGGUGAAAAUUAAUGACUCGGUUUCUUGGAAACCCUCUGAAUCCGUUGUAAUAACGUUUGAUGGGCAAGUUUUACCAAAACGGAUUUUUAUGUGCUAUAAUGCUCUUCCAGUAGAGAUAUAUAUUUUUCCUACAAUACAAUGCUAUAAAUGCUGUCGUUAUGGUCAUACCAAAGUACAAUGUCGUUCUAAGACUCCAAUAUGUUAUAACUGUGGAGGUCAACAUGCAGGUGUCUCAUGUGACAGGUCAGAUGAAGAUCCUCUAUUCUGCGUAAUGUGUAAAGUUGAAGGGUCUCAUUCAGCGAUAGACAAGUCAUGUCCAGAGUUUGUGAGACAGACAGAAAUCAAACUUAAAAUGGCUCAGAGCUGCAUGUCUUACGCAGAAGCUAGUAAAUGUUUUCCUUCUGUUAAGCCUUCAUACGCAGAUGCACUAAGUUCAACGAUUCCAGAAGUACCGAAACCUGCAUAUGUUCCCACAACGAUGUCUGCAUCUCAUAACAAUUUUACUAAUUCAUCAUAUAAAAAGACAGUAUUUUUAAAACCUCGGUCUCCUCCUAAGCAUCAAUAUGGUUAUGAUCGCGUUGCUCAUAAAUAUUUAUUAAAAGAUUUCCAGGUUUCAGAGCCUAAAAAUGGCUGUGCUCUGGUAGAUAAAAGUAAAGAGGAAGAAAACUCUGAUGUCUUAGAAAUGAUACUAGCUUUAUUAAGUACUUUAAUAAACUCAAACUUACUAAAACCGUCCCACGUUGCCUCUAUUAAUGAAAAAAUAAAAUCAAUUAAUGUUAAUAAAAAUAAUGGAUUGCAAAAUAAUUCAAUGGAAUUGUAGGAGUAUUGUUCCAAAGAAACAUGAUUUAAUAUAUUUGUUAAAUAAACAUUCUCCUGUUGUUGUCGCAUUAUCCGAGACGUGGUUAAAGCCAGGAUACCUAUUUAAGGUCCCUGGAUAUACCUGCUUACGUGAUGAUAGAUACGAUGGCUAUGGUGGUGUAGCAUUACUCGUCAGGAACUCAAUUGAUUUUUCUAGAAUAUCAUUUUCUUCAUUAAUUUCUAAUGAUGCCAUUAAUAUUGUCGGCAUCAAAAUUGAUAGUAUUUCUAUAGUUUCCAUUUAUCUCGCUCGUUCCUCUUUUAUUAUUCUCAAUAGCAUUAAUAAUUUACUCUCUUCACUUAGUGAUCCAUUCCUACUAUUAGGUGACUUUAACUGUCAUCACCAAAUGUUUGGUUGUGGCACCACUGACACUAAUGGUGUACAUUUAGUAGAAAUAUUAGAUUUACAAAACUUGUGUUUACUUAAUACUGGCUCACCAACCAGACGCACAAAGCCUAAUGAGAAGCCUAGUGCAGUUGACUUAUCAAUUUGUACCCCAGAUCUUGCUUCUUCUCAUUCUUGGUACACCUCAUCAUCUACUUUUGGCAGUGAUCAUUUCCCGAUUAUCAUAUCCUCUCCUAUUAGACGCCCUCCUUAUCAAAAACGAAAACCUCGUGUGAAAUAUAAAUUAAAUAAUGCUGAUUGGUCUGCAUUUAAGAACCUUGUCGAAUCUAAAAUAAAAGAUUUGCCUGAAUUAGUUAGCGGUGGUGAGACCAAUUCUUCUAGAGCUCUGGCUACAUGUUUAAUAGAAUCUGCCGAUCAGAUUUUUUCUGUUAAACGAAAUCCAUCCAAUAAGAUUCCAUAUCCUCCAUGGUGGGAUAGAGAAUGUAUGGAUGCUGUAAGUAAAAGAAAGGUAGCUGAGAGAGUCUAUGCUGAGGACAUGUCCAAUGAAAACUUAGAUAUUCUCAAUGAAGUUAUUUGUAUUACACGUAAAUUCCUCAGAGAUAAAAAGCAGGAAGGCUGGAAAACAUUUUGUACAUCUUUAUCUCCUUCUACGUGCCCUACAGAAGUUUGGCGCAGUAUUAAACGAUUUCGGUCUGCUUUCAAAGAAUCUUUAUCAUCAUCUUCACUUCCCCCUUCUUUAACAAAUGCCUUUUUAGACAGAUUAGCUCCUCCAUCAGUUGCUGAAUCGAUCUACUUUCCUUUAGAAUCAUCUUUGACAGAUGACUCUUCCUCUUUAAACUCUCCUUUUUCACUACAUGAAUUAAAAGGUGUGCUUUCACAUGUUAAAGAUUCAUCUCCAGGUCAGGAUGGUAUUAUGUACUCAUUUUUAUCUCAUCUUGGUAAUAGUGCUUUAAUGUAUUUUUUAAAUUUAAUAAAUUCAGUCAUGGUCACAGGUAAUAUUCCUGAAACAUGGAAGUCUCAAGAAGUUAUAGCGAUUAAAAAACCUAACAAACCUACCAAUGAUGUUGCCUCAUAUAGGCCUAUUGCGCUGUCCUCUGUUUUAACUAAGGUUGCUGAACAUCUUGUGAAGAAUCGUUUGGAAUGGUUUAUUGAAAACAAUAAUUUCAUAGCCAAUAGUCAAUACGGUUUCCGGAAGUCAAAAUCUACAAUAGACAAUUUAGCUAUAUUAACCACAGAUAUUCGCUUAGCUUUUUCGCGCGAUGAAGAUAUUGUAGCUGCCUUUUUGGACAUCGCUGCCGCUUAUGAUAAUGUGAACAUUUCUAUUUUACAACGCAAAUUAUUAGAGCUACAGGUUCCUACAUUAUUAAUUCAUUUUAUCAUCAAUUUACUAUCCUGCAGAUACAUAUCAUUAUUCGUUCAGAAAGACGGUAAUACUACUGAGUUAAAGCGUACAGUUUUUAAAGGCCUUCCCCAAGGUUCAGUACUUAGCCCACUUUUAUAUAACAUUUAUACAUAUGAUUUAGAAUCAUCUUUAUAUUCCCACAUAAAUGUGCUACAAUAUGCAGAUGAUUUGCUUUUUUAUUCCGUAAAUAAAUCUAUAGAUAUCGCUUGCAAUUUCAUGUCUAAUUCACUUAAUAGUUUAAAUGUGUGGUUAGUUAAAAAUGACUUAAAUUUAUCCGUAUCCAAAAGUUCAAUAGUUGUAUUUUCUAAAAAACGUACAACUCCUGUCAUAAAUGUGACCUUCAAUGGUCAAUCUCUGCCAUAUCAAACAAAAAUUAAAUUUUUAGGAGUUAUAUUAGAUUCAAAAUUGUCUGGACUUGCCCAUUAUGAACAUAUUGAUAUGAAAUGUGCACAGCUACUUAAUAUCAUGAAAUGCCUCUCAGGUGUAUGGUGGGGUGCUCAUCCGUUUUCUAUGAAACUUGUGUAUAACGCUCUUCUCCGGAUAUAAGAUAUGAUAUAGGUGUCGGUAAACAAGAUAUUCGGGAGACAAAUAUUCGUUUCAUGAGUAGCGUUGAGGAACAAAAUUGGAGUGGAUGGGAUUAUAUUUUUACAGAUGCCUCUAAAAUCUCUAUUGAUGAUUGUGUUGGAGUCGGUCUAGUUCAUUGGCAACAUAAAAUAAUACAAAAGAUUAAACUUCCUCCUGAA
This is an RNA transcript of Bombyx mori (domestic silkworm), 4470 nucleotides long. RefSeq lists it as uncharacterized. NCBI's taxonomy places the organism in Eukaryota, Metazoa, Arthropoda, Insecta, Lepidoptera, Bombycidae. The record is from RefSeq and is a predicted model, not a curated record. The transcript is spliced from 2 exons.